This 484-nucleotide ribosomal RNA is filed under the name uncultured bacterium. RNAcentral's name for it is "partial 16S ribosomal RNA". It matches the Rfam family "Bacterial small subunit ribosomal RNA", at positions 30 to 507 of the family's 1533-position model. The record is from RNAcentral.
AUUGAACGCUAGCGGGAUGCUUUACACAUGCAAGUCGAACGGCAGCGCGGACUUCGGUCUGGCGGCGAGUGGCGCACGGGUGAGUAAUGUAUCGGAACGUGCCCAGUAGCGGGGGAUAACUACGCGAAAGCGUAGCUAAUACCGCAUACGCCCUACGGGGGAAACCAGGGGAUCGUAAGACCUUGCACUAUUGGAGCGGCCGAUAUCGGAUUAGCUAGUUGGUGAGGUAACGGCUCACCAAGGCGACGAUCCGUAGCUGGUUUGAGAGGACGACCAGCCACACUGGGAGUGAGACACGGCCCAGACUCCUACGGGAGGCAGCAGUGGGGAAUUUUGGACAAUGGGGGCAACCCUGAUCCAGCCAUCCCGCGUGUGCGAUGAAGGCCUUCGGGUUGUAAAGCACUUUUGGCAGGAAAGAAACGUCGCGGGCUAAUACCCCGUGGAACUGACGGUACCUGCAGAAUAAGCACCGGCUAACUACGUG